This 253-nucleotide ribosomal RNA is filed under the name uncultured bacterium. RNAcentral's name for it is "partial 16S ribosomal RNA". It matches the Rfam family "Bacterial small subunit ribosomal RNA", at positions 524 to 776 of the family's 1533-position model. The record is from RNAcentral.
CACGUAGGGUGCGAGCGUUGUCCGGAAUUAUUGGGCGUAAAGAGCUUGUAGGCGGUCUGUCGCGUCUGCUGUGAAAAUCCGGGGCUCAACCCCGGACUUGCAGUGGGUACGGGCAGACUAGAGUGCGGUAGGGGAGACUGGAAUUCCUGGUGUAGCGGUGAAAUGCGCAGAUAUCAGGAGGAACACCGGUGGCGAAGGCGGGUCUCUGGGCCGUAACUGACGCUGAGGAGCGAAAGCAUGGGGAGCGAACAGG